Molecule: ribosomal RNA, 55 nt
Filed under: Pseudogulbenkiania subflava DSM 22618
Lineage: Bacteria; Pseudomonadati; Pseudomonadota; Betaproteobacteria; Neisseriales; Chromobacteriaceae
Description: 16S rRNA. Bacterial SSU
Source: RNAcentral
CUGGCUCAGAUUGAACGCUGGCGGCAUGCUUUACACAUGCAAGUCGAACGGUAAC